Molecule: non-coding RNA, 72 nt
Organism: Phrynosoma platyrhinos (Desert horned lizard)
Lineage: Eukaryota; Metazoa; Chordata; Lepidosauria; Squamata; Phrynosomatidae
Source: the annotation of a GenBank genome assembly
GCCAGCGUGGUGUAGUGGUUUGAGUGUUGGACUGUGACUCCAGAGACCAAGGUUUGAACCCAGGGUUAGGCC